This 486-nucleotide ribosomal RNA is filed under the name uncultured bacterium. Its description in RNAcentral is "partial 16S ribosomal RNA". It matches the Rfam family "Bacterial small subunit ribosomal RNA", at positions 30 to 507 of the family's 1533-position model. The record is from RNAcentral.
AUUGAACGCUGGCGGCAUGCCUUACACAUGCAAGUCGAACGGCAGCACGGGUGCUUGCACCUGGUGGCGAGUGGCGAACGGGUGAGUAAUACAUCGGAACAUGUCCUUUAGUGGGGGAUAGCCCGGCGAAAGCCGGAUUAAUACUGCAUACGAUCCACGGAUGAAAGCGGGGGACCUUCGGGCCUCGCGCUAUGGGGUUGGCCGAUGGCUGAUUAGCUAGUUGGUGGGGUAAAGGCCUACCAAGGCGACGAUCAGUAGCUGGUCUGAGAGGACGACCAGCCACACUGGGACUGAGACACGGCCCAGACUCCUACGGGAGGCAGCAGUGGGGAAUUUUGGACAAUGGGCGAAAGCCUGAUCCAGCAAUGCCGCGUGUGUGAAGAAGGCCUUCGGGUUGUAAAGCACUUUUGUCCGGAAAGAAAUGCUUGACUCUAAUACAGUCGGGGGAUGACGGUACCGGAAGAAUAAGCACCGGCUAACUACGUG